UGCAGUCGAACGCUUUGUGCUUAAUUGAUAUGACGAGCUUGCUCUGAUUUGAUUUUUUGAUUUCAAAGAGUGGCGAACGGGUGAGUAACACGUGGGUAACCUACCUCUUAGCAGGGGAUAACAUUUGGAAACAAGUGCUAAUACCGUAUAAUACCAACAACCGCAUGGUUGUUGGUUGAAAGAUGGUUCUGCUAUCACUAAGAGAUGGACCCGCGGUGCAUUAGCUAGUUGGUAAGGUAAUGGCUUACCAAGGCAAUGAUGCAUAGCCGAGUUGAGAGACUGAUCGGCCACAAUGGGACUGAGACACGGCCCAUACUCCUACGGGAGGCAGCAGUAGGGAAUCUUCCACAAUGGGCGCAAGCCUGAUGGAGCAACGCCGCGUGUGUGAUGAAGGGUUUCGGCUCGUAAAACACUGUUAUAAGAGAAGAACGGCACUGAGAGUAACUGUUCAGUGUGUGACGGUAUCUUACCAGAAAGGAACGGCUAAAUACGUGCCAGCAGCCGCGGUAAUACGUAUGUUCCAAGCGUUAUCCGGAUUUAUUGGGCGUAAAGCGAGCGCAGACGGUUAUUUAAGUCUGAAGUGAAAGCCCUCAGCUCAACUGAGGAAUUGCUUUGGAAACUGGAUGACUUGAGUGCAGUAGAGGAAAGUGGAACUCCAUGUGUAGCGGUGAAAUGCGUAGAUAUAUGGAAGAACACCAGUGGCGAAGGCGGCUUUCUGGACUGUAACUGACGUUGAGGCUCGAAAGUGUGGGUAGCAAACAGGAUUAGAUACCCUGGUAGUCCACACCGUAAACGAUGAGUGCUAGAUGUUCGAGGGUUUCCGCCCUUGAGUGUCGCAGCUAACGCAUUAAGCACUCCGCCUGGGGAGUACGACCGCAAGGUUGAAACUCAAAGGAAUUGACGGGGACCCGCACAAGCGGUGGAGCAUGUGGUUUAAUUCGAAGCAACGCGAAGAACCUUACCAGGUCUUGACAUCCCUUGACAACGCUAGAAAUAGCGCGUUCCCUUCGGGGACAAGGUGACAGGUGGUGCAUGGUUGUCGUCAGCUCGUGUCGUGAGAUGUUGGGUUAAGUCCCGCAACGAGCGCAACCCUUAUUAUUAGUUGCCAGCAUUCA
This 1115-nucleotide ribosomal RNA is filed under the name Weissella hellenica. RNAcentral's name for it is "bacterial SSU rRNA". It matches the Rfam family "Bacterial small subunit ribosomal RNA", at positions 24 to 1127 of the family's 1533-position model. The record is from RNAcentral. Lineage: Bacteria; Bacillati; Bacillota; Bacilli; Lactobacillales; Lactobacillaceae.